UAGGGAAUCUUCCGCAAUGGACGCAAGUCUGACGGAGCAACGCCGCGUGAGUGAAGAAGGAUUUAGGUUCGUAAAACUCUGUUGUUAGAGAAGAACAGCGCAUAGAGUAACUGUUAUGCGUGUGACGGUAUCUAACCAGAAAGCCACGGCUAACUACGUGCCAGCAGCCGCGGUAAUACGUAGGUGGCAAGCGUUGUCCGGAUUUAUUGGGCGUAAAGCGAGCGCAGGCGGUCAAUUAAGUCUGAUGUGAAAGCCCCCGGCUCAACCGGGGAUGGUCAUUGGAAACUGGUUGACUUGAGUGCAGAAGAGGAGAGUGGAAUUCCAUGUGUAGCGGUGAAAUGCGUAGAUAUAUGGAGGAACACCAGUGGCGAAGGCGACUCUCUGGUCUGUAACUGACGCUGAGGCUCGAAAGCGUGGGUAGCAAACAGG
This 429-nucleotide ribosomal RNA is filed under the name Bacteroidota bacterium. Its description in RNAcentral is "Bacteroidetes bacterium partial 16S ribosomal RNA". It matches the Rfam family "Bacterial small subunit ribosomal RNA", at positions 355 to 776 of the family's 1533-position model. Lineage: Bacteria; Pseudomonadati; Bacteroidota. The record is from RNAcentral.